GCAGGAAUGGCGGAAUGGUAUACGCGGCUGACUUAGAAUCAGUAUUCUGAGAGUUCGAAUCUCUCUUCCUGUACAA
Molecule: transfer RNA, 76 nt
Filed under: Flavobacterium hydatis
Lineage: Bacteria; Pseudomonadati; Bacteroidota; Flavobacteriia; Flavobacteriales; Flavobacteriaceae
Also listed under: 3 other names
Description: tRNA-Leu
Rfam family: tRNA
About the family: Transfer RNA (tRNA) molecules are approximately 80 nucleotides in length. Their secondary structure includes four short double-helical elements and three loops (D, anti-codon, and T loops).
Source: RNAcentral